Molecule: ribosomal RNA, 728 nt
Filed under: uncultured bacterium
Lineage: Bacteria
Description: bacterial SSU rRNA
Rfam family: Bacterial small subunit ribosomal RNA
Source: RNAcentral
UGCAAGUCGAACGAACUUAACCAUUAGUUUACUAUUGGAGCGGUUAGUGGCGGACUGGUGAGUAACACGUAAGCAACCUGCCUAUCAGAGGGGAACAACAGUUAGAAAUGACUGCUAAUACCGCAUAUGCCUUAGAAUCACAUGGUUCAAAGGGAAAGGAGCAAUCCGCUGAUAGAUGGGCUUGCGUCUGAUUAGCUAGUUGGUGGGGUAACGGCCUACCAAGGCGACGAUCAGUAGCCGAACUGAGAGGUUGAACGGCCACAUUGGGACUGAGAUACGGCCCAGACUCCUACGGGAGGCAGCAGUCGGGAAUAUUGCGCAAUGGAGGAAACUCUGACGCAGUGACGCCGCGUGCAGGAAGAAGGUUUUCGGAUUGUAAACUGCUUUAGACAGGGAAGAACAAAGACAGUACCUGUAGAAUAAGCUCCGGCUAACUACGUGCCAGCAGCCGCGGUAAUACGUAGGGAGCGAGCGUUAUCCGGAUUUAUUGGGUGUAAAGGGUGCGUAGACGGGAAGUCAAGUUAGUUGUGAAAUCCCUCGGCUUAACUGAGGAACUGCAACUAAAACUGAUUUUCUUGAGUACUGGAGAGGAAAGUGGAAUUCCUAGUGUAGCGGUGAAAUGCGUAGAUAUUAGGAGGAACACCGGUGGCGAAGGCGACUUUCUGGACAGAAACUGACGUUGAGGCACGAAAGUGUGGGGAGCAAACAGGAUUAGAUACCCUGGUAGU